CUUAUUCUGUUCACCUUACUUGUAUCCCCUCGAAAUAUCUCUGAGCUUAAUGUCUCUCAGACAGAAUUUCCUAUUUAUCUCAUUAACAUUAAUAUUACUCUAUAAAAACACUCUUAACAAUUCUCACAAAUUUCGAAUCACACUAUCCACUUACUUAGCCUGCACAUACGUAACCAACAAAUUGACAGAACCAAAUACCCUAAACCACAUUCUGCUAAUAUUAGUUCCAAGCACACUAGAUAAUUUGAAAUUUCGCAUUCUAUCGCGUUUUUCCACCAAAUGCCAACAGAUCGGAUCUGUCUUUUUUUAAGCGACCAUCAUGCAAAUCAGCGUUUUUUAACGAACACGUUUCGGGAACGUAAGUAUCGUGUAAGACUCGGCUUGAGCCGCUCGAGAGCCGGACGUAACGAGAGGCUUACCGAUGCCUUAAUGCCGCGUAAUGCGAUCAAUGCACCGACACAGCCGUGGCAAAACGUCGACAAGGCUUGAAACAGAGAGCAACCGAGUCGAUGGACAACGCGAACACGAUCGAGAGAAAGAAAGAGAAACAUUAGCGAGUACAUUGUCGGUGUACUGGAUGAAUCCGUGAGCGUGGAAAGGGUGUUACGCUACUACGGUUCUCCGGUUUCCGACGCGCUUAAGUGCAAAAACACGUUAAAAUCAAUAGUUUGCGUGGACGACACGGGAUUUAGUAAGCGAGCUCUACUCUCUUUUCUUUCCCUCAUCCCUAUGGUCUUCGAUGGUUGAACGAUCUGAAAGAUCGAGAAGGGGAGCUUUCCACGGACUUGGAACAGAUCCACGGUAUUUACUUUUCCCGGAGUCGAGGGCGACAUUUUAGGGUGAGAUUAGGAG
Molecule: unclassified non-coding RNA, 852 nt
Filed under: Bombus terrestris (buff-tailed bumblebee)
Lineage: Eukaryota; Metazoa; Arthropoda; Insecta; Hymenoptera; Apidae
Description: misc RNA ENSBTSG00005034186.1
Source: RNAcentral